AAUCUCUGCAGUAAAGGCACACCAGACCACCAUACUUGGAGGACAUGGAGCUCAACUUGGGACUUGAAGCCAGAAAUCUGCCUGAAUCUCACAGCUGCUGUGAAUUAAGAUGCCACAGCUGACCUCAUAUCUUCAACUCUUGACCUUCAGAACUUCAGAAGAAUCAUCCAGAACACAGAGGAGGAGGCUUCUGGGCCAAUGUACCACUGCUCCCAGCACAGAGGAGGUGAGCUGCACAGGCAGCAGCAGAACCCCCCCAACCCCCCCAUCAAAAUAAGAAGACACAUAAACAAGCCUCAAGACCAGACUUUCAGAUCACCUACAGCAACCUCAAAGGGAAACAAGAUGGAACACUCUGAUACUCAACCACCUGGACUCCCUGAACUGGCAACAAAAGAGGAUCUGGAAAAAAUGAAAUCAGAAAUAAUUUCAAAGAUAACAGCAGAGAUUGUGCCCAUAGUGCAAGACAUGAUUGAUAAAUCUAGAGAGGAGCUGAGGAACAUAAUGGAAUCCCAACAUAGGAAACAAAUGGAUUCCAUAAAGCAAAAACAAACAGAUUUCCAGGAGAUUAAAAACUCCAUUGAAAGUUUGCGCAGCAGAAUGAGGCAAUGCAAGGACAGAACUUAAGAUAUAGAAGAUGAGAUUGCAGUUAGUGACCAGGAAAAGAAAAAUUGCUUAAAAAUUGUAGGGGACCAUGAGAAAUCAAUCCAACAACUGGUAGAUGAUGCAAAGAAGAAUAACAUAAGAAUGAUCCAAGUCAGUGAAGAAAGAGGACAGAAUGCAGAUGACAUAAAAAAAAACUGUUCACAGAAGUGAUGGCAGAAAAAUUUCCAAGCAGGGGAAAAGAACUUCACAUACAUAUAUAGGUCUCCAACAAGCCUUGAUCAAAAAAAAAAUCUACACAUAGGCAUAUAAUAGUUAAAAUUCCAGAAACCCAACAGAAGAACAAAGUCUUACAAGCAGUGAGAGAAAAGAAACAAAUCACAUAAAAAGGAAAACCCAUCAGAAUCACAGCAGACUUCUCACCGCAAACCCUCAAGACAAGAAGAGUUUGGAGUGACUUAUUUUAUGUCCUAAAGGUAAACAGCCUCCAACCCAG
Molecule: long non-coding RNA, 1099 nt
Filed under: Heterocephalus glaber (naked mole-rat)
Lineage: Eukaryota; Metazoa; Chordata; Mammalia; Rodentia; Bathyergidae
Description: lncRNA (ENSHGLG00100037710.1)
Source: RNAcentral